AAAAUUGUUUCAUCUGCGUUGAAGAAUGAUGGUCGUCGUGAGGAGAGAGAGAGAGUCGAAUUAAGAAAGAAAAAAUAAGGUAGAGGGUGGGUUCGAUCUAGAGAAUAUUCAAGCCAUACAUAACCACUACACUAAGACAAUAUAUACAUAACUAUUAGAAAAACAAUUGCAUAUAAAUAGUAAGAACCAUCGAAUUAAGUUUUCACUACAGUUAACGAUUUCGUUAUCAUAGUUAACGGUCGUUAACUGGAUUUUUUAUUUUACCAAAAUUUAUAAGACAUGAAAGUUUUUAAAGGAAAUA
Molecule: small RNA, 301 nt
Filed under: Arabidopsis thaliana (thale cress)
Lineage: Eukaryota; Viridiplantae; Streptophyta; Magnoliopsida; Brassicales; Brassicaceae
Description: ATSL043250
Source: RNAcentral